CUACGGGGGGCUGCAGUGGGGAAUAUUGGACAAUGGGCGAAAGCCUGAUCCAGCCAUGCCGCGUGUGUGAAGAAGGCCUUCGGGUUGUAAAGCACUUUAAGCGGGGAGGAAGGCCUUGAGACUAAUACUCUUGAGGAUUGACGUUACCCGCAGAAUAAGCACCGGCUAACUCUGUGCCAGCAGCCGCGGUCAUACAGAGGCUGCAAGCCUUAAUCGGAAUUACUGGGCGUAAGUCGCGCGUGGGCGGUUUGAAAUCCCCGGGCUCAACCUGGGCACGGCAUCCGAUACUGGCUGACUAGAGUGUGGGAGAGGAAGGUAGAAUUCCAGGUGUAGCGGUGAAAUGCGUAGAGAUCUGGAGGAAUACCGAUGGCGAAGGCAGCCUUCUGGCCUAACACUGACGCUGAGGUGCGAAAGCAUGGGGAGCAAACAGGAUUAGAUACCCGGGUAGUC
Molecule: ribosomal RNA, 450 nt
Filed under: uncultured bacterium
Lineage: Bacteria
Description: partial 16S ribosomal RNA
Rfam family: Bacterial small subunit ribosomal RNA
Source: RNAcentral